RNAcentral lists this ribosomal RNA (497 nucleotides) under uncultured bacterium. RNAcentral's name for it is "partial 16S ribosomal RNA". It matches the Rfam family "Bacterial small subunit ribosomal RNA", at positions 28 to 507 of the family's 1533-position model. The record is from RNAcentral.
GAUGAACGCUGGCGGCGUGCCUAAUACAUGCAAGUCGAGCGAACAGACGAGGAGCUUGCUCCUCUGACGUUAGCGGCGGACGGGUGAGUAACACGUGGAUAACCUACCUAUAAGACUGGGAUAACUUCGGGAAACCGGAGCUAAUACCGGAUAAUAUAUUGAACCGCAUGGUUCAAUAGUGAAAGACGGUUUUGCUGUCACUUAUAGAUGGAUCCGCGCCGCAUUAGCUGGUUGGUAAGGUAACGGCUUACCAAGGCAACGAUGCGUAGCCGACCUGAGAGGGUGAUCGGCCACACUGGAACUGAGACACGGUCCAGACUCCUACGGGAGGCAGCAGCAGGGAAUCUUCCGCAAUGGGCGAAAGCUUGACGGAGCAACGCCGCGUGAGUGAUGAAGGUCUUCGGAUCGUAAAACUCUGUUAUUAGGGAAGAACAAAUGUGUAAGUAACUAUGCACGUCUUGACGGUACCUAAUCAGAAAGCCACGGCUAACUACGUG